Molecule: unclassified non-coding RNA, 340 nt
Filed under: soil metagenome
Description: partial contains 5.8S ribosomal RNA, internal transcribed spacer 2, and large subunit ribosomal RNA
Rfam family: 5.8S ribosomal RNA (bases 1-121)
Source: RNAcentral
GAUGAAGGAACGCAGCGAAAUGCGAUAACUAAUGUGAAUUGCAGAAUUCAGUGAAUCAUCGAGUCUUUGAACGCACAUUGCGCCCCCUGGUAUUCCGGGGGGCAUGCCUGUCCGAGCGUCAUUGCUGCCCUCAAGCACGGCUUGUGUGUUGGGCUCCGUCCCCCCGGGGACGGGCCCGAAAGGCAGCGGCGGCACCGAGUCCGGUCCUCGAGCGUAUGGGGCUUUGUCACCCGCUCUGUAGGCCCGGCCGGCGCCAGCCGACAACCCAUCAUCCUUUUCAGGUUGACCUCGGAUCAGGUAGGGAUACCCGCUGAACUUAAGCAUAUCAAUAAGCGGAGGA